CCUACGGGAGGCAGCAGUGGGGAAUUUUGGACAAUGGGGGCAACCCUGAUCCAGCAAUGCCGCGUGAGUGAAGAAGGCCUUCGGGUUGUAAAGCUCUUUUGUCAGGGAAGAAACAGCAGCUCUAACACAGACUGCGAAUGACGGUACCUGAAGAAUAAGCACCGGCUAACUACGUGCCAGCAGCCGCGGUAAUACGUAGGGUGCGAGCGUUAAUCGGAAUUACUGGGCGUAAAGCGUGCGCAGGCGGUUAUACAAGACAGGCGUGAAAUCCCCGGGCUUAACCUGGGAAUGGCGUCUGUGACUGUAUAGCUAGAGUGUGUCAGAGGGGGGUGGAAUUCCACGUGUAGCAGUGAAAUGCGUAGAUAUGUGGAGGAACACCAAUGGCGAAGGCAGCCCCCUGGGAUAACACUGACGCUCAUGCACGAAAGCGUGGGGAGCAAACAGGAUUAGAUACCCUGGUAGUCCACGCCCUAAACGAUGCUGACUAGUUGUUGGGAAUUUACAUUCUCAGUAACGUAGCUAACGCGUGAAGUCAGCCGCCUGGGGAGUACGGUCGCAAGAUUAAAACGUCAAAGGAAUUGACGGCAGAGAGNGCGAGGACGACGACGAGGGAGGAGG
RNAcentral lists this ribosomal RNA (618 nucleotides) under uncultured bacterium. RNAcentral's name for it is "bacterial SSU rRNA". It matches the Rfam family "Bacterial small subunit ribosomal RNA", at positions 338 to 951 of the family's 1533-position model. The record is from RNAcentral.